GACCUUGCGCUAUCGGAUGAGCCUAUGUCGGAUUAGCUAGUUGGUGAGGUAAUGGCUCACCAAGGCCGCGAUCCGUAGCUGGUCUGAGAGGAUGAUCAGCCACAUCGGGACUGAGACACGGCCCGAACUCCUACGGGAGGCAGCAGUGGGGAAUAUUGGACAAUGGGCGAAAGCCUGAUCCAGCCAUGCCGCGUGUGUGAAGAAGGCCUUCGGGUUGUAAAGCACUUUCAGCGAGGAAGAACGCCUGUGGGUUAAUACCCCGCAGGAAGGACAUCACUCGCAGAAGAAGCACCGGCUAACUCCGUGCCAGCAGCCGCGGUAAUACGGAGGGUGCAAGCGUUAAUCGGAAUUACUGGGCGUAAAGCGCGCGUAGGCGGCUUGAUAAGCCGGUUGUGAAAGCCCCGGGCUCAACCUGGGAACGGCAUCCGGAACUGUCAGGCUAGAGUGCAGGAGAGGAAGGUAGAAUUCCCGGUGUAGCGGUGAAAUGCGUAGAGAUCGGGAGGAAUACCAGUGGCGAAGGCGGCCUUCUGGACUGACACUGACGCUGAGGUGCGAAAGCGUGGGUAGCAAACAGGAUUAGAUACCCUGGUAGUCCACGCCGUAAACGAUGUCGACUAGCCGUUGGGGUCCUCGAGACCUUUGUGGCGCAGUUAACGCGAUAAGUCGACCGCCUGGGGAGUACGGCCGCAAGGUUAAAACUCAAAUGAAUUGACGGGGGCCCGCACAAGCGGUGGAGCAUGUGGUUUAAUUCGAUGCAACGCGAAGAACCUUACCUACUCUUGACAUCGAGCGAACUUUCCAGAGAUGGAUUGGGUGCCCUUCGGGAACGCUCAGACAGGUGCUGCAUGGCCGUCGUCAGCUCGUGUUGUGAA
Molecule: ribosomal RNA, 872 nt
Filed under: Halomonas sp.
Lineage: Bacteria; Pseudomonadati; Pseudomonadota; Gammaproteobacteria; Oceanospirillales; Halomonadaceae
Description: bacterial SSU rRNA
Rfam family: Bacterial small subunit ribosomal RNA
Source: RNAcentral